Long non-coding RNA from Lepidothrix coronata (blue-crowned manakin), 761 nucleotides. RefSeq lists it as uncharacterized. The record is from RefSeq and is a predicted model, not a curated record. The transcript has 3 exons. NCBI's taxonomy places the organism in Eukaryota, Metazoa, Chordata, Aves, Passeriformes, Pipridae.
GGGGCGAUAAACAGAAGUUUAGAGUGAAAAAAAAAAGAACCCACAAGAAUUUUCAAACAUGGACUAGUGUUGCUAUUAAGAUUAACAAACUACUCUUUUACAAGGCACAGGUGUCUCCUGCUCUGGCAGUCAUGUCCCACGAGAAUCCAGCACUGGAAUGGGAUCCGGGCUUGCAGGUGUGAGGCAAUGAACAGAACUGUAUGAAAGCAGUGCGACAACAGCAUGAAACCACAAGGAAAUACACUGCCCAAAAACCACUGAAAAACUGCCUCAGUCACUCUGGUUCUUAACAUUGACAAGAACUAAAGGAAAUUGGAAUUUCAGGUCUGGCUAAAACACUUAGACCAUAAGUUAUGUCACUAUGCAAUAAUAUCUCAAAUUUUCCUGCUAAACCAAAAUUCGAAUUAAAAAAAUAGAUAAAUAAAGAUUCAAAUACAAGGCUUGUGAGAUGAGAAGGGAGAGACUAAGGUAAUGUGUCUUCAUUUUGGUUGGGAUAGAGUUAAUUUAUUUCCUAGUAGCUGGAAAAGUGCUGUGUUUUUAGGAUGAGUGGUGCUGAUAAUAUUGUGAUGCUUUGUGUUUUGCUGAGCACUGCUCACGCUCAGUCAAGGACUUUUCAGUUUCUCAGGCUGCCCUGGCAGAGAGGAGGUUGGGAAUGCACAAAAAGAUGGGAGGAGACACAGUUAGAACAGGUGAUCCAACUGGCCAAAGGAAUAUCCCAGACCAAAUGGCGUCAGCUGAACAAUAACACUGGGGUGUGUUGG